Molecule: ribosomal RNA, 449 nt
Filed under: uncultured bacterium
Lineage: Bacteria
Description: SSU rRNA
Rfam family: Bacterial small subunit ribosomal RNA
Source: RNAcentral
AGAGCGAACGCUGGCGGCAGGCUUAACACAUGCAAGUCGAGCGGGCGUAGCAAUACGUCAGCGGCAGACGGGUGAGUAACGCGUGGGAACGUACCUUUUGGUUCGGAACAACCCAGGGAAACUUGGGCUAAUACCGGAUAAGCCCUUACGGGGAAAGAUUUAUCGCCGAAAGAUCGGCCCGCGUCUGAUUAGCUAGUUGGUGAGGUAAUGGCUCACCAAGGCGACGAUCAGUAGCUGGUCUGAGAGGAUGAUCAGCCACAUUGGGACUGAGACACGGCCCAAACUCCUACGGGAGGCAGCAGUGGGGAAUAUUGGACAAUGGGCGCAAGCCUGAUCCAGCCAUGCCGCGUGAGUGAUGAAGGCCCUAGGGUUGUAAAGCUCUUUUGUGCGGGAAGAUAAUGACGGUACCGCAAGAAUAAGCCCCGGCUAACGUUCGCGCCAGCAGCCGC